This 448-nucleotide ribosomal RNA is filed under the name Ruegeria sp. 1S6' 3. Its description in RNAcentral is "bacterial SSU rRNA". It matches the Rfam family "Bacterial small subunit ribosomal RNA", at positions 380 to 858 of the family's 1533-position model. The record is from RNAcentral. Lineage: Bacteria; Pseudomonadati; Pseudomonadota; Alphaproteobacteria; Rhodobacterales; Roseobacteraceae.
ACCCUGAUCAGCCAUGCCGCGUGAGUGAUGAAGGCCUUAGGGUCGUAAAGUCGCCUGUGAAGAUAAUGACGGUAGCAGGUAAAGAAACCCCGGCUAACUCCGUGCCAGCAGCCGCGGUAAUACGGAGGGGGUUAGCGUUGUUCGGAAUUCUGGGCGUAAAGCGCACGUAGGCGGACUGGAAAGUUGGGGGUGAAAUCCCGGGGCUCAACCCCGGAACUGCCUCCAAAACUAUCAGUCUAGAGUUCGAGAGAGGUGAGUGGAAUUCCGAGUGUAGAGGUGAAAUUCGUAGAUAUUCGGAGGAACACCAGUGGCGAAGGCGGCUCACUGGCUCGAUACUGACGCUGAGGUGCGAAAGUGUGGGGAGCAAACAGGAUUAGAUACCCUGGUAGUCCACACCGUAAACGAUGAAUGCCGUCUCGGUAGCAUCUAUUCGUGACACACCUAACGG